RNAcentral lists this ribosomal RNA (195 nucleotides) under Triticum aestivum (bread wheat). Its description in RNAcentral is "partial small subunit ribosomal RNA". Lineage: Eukaryota; Viridiplantae; Streptophyta; Magnoliopsida; Poales; Poaceae. The record is from RNAcentral.
AUGGUAUUGAGUGUUCCAAUAUCAAACUUCACAUUCAUUGCACCUAAUUUCUGGAACAUGGCGAUCGCUUCGUCUGCACAAUUAUUUCUACAAAGGCCUUUAAGUAUUAUAUUGUAUACGGGAAUGUCCACUGUCGUUUCACUUUCGAUCAUCUCAUGGAACAUUUUCCUUGCAACGACAGUUCUUGCAGCAUGA